UGACAUGAAGUGCGCAUUUCGAAAAGCCAGUGAACGCAGCGUCAUACGGGCACCCCCACCCCACUCCCCCGGAAACCCUCGGAUGAACCCGCAGGAAGGCGCGCGGCUAAAGAACUCUUGGACAGCUGGAAGGCCGCAGGAUCACGGUGAAGGCCUCUUCUGUAUAGAGGACGUGGGCGGAAACGUCACGUGGUCUCCGCAGAGACUGGUCAGUUAUUUGGAGACAACAUGUACAAAUAGUUCCUGGACUGAUCUUCUGCUAACUUUGAGAUGGAGAAGCUGUCAGGUUCAUCUGUUUCAGGGUCCUGCAUGCUCUCCCUCCAUGUUGGCUGUAGCAGUGGAUGGAACUUGCUAAAUGUACUGUUUUGAGAGCCAACUGGGGCUCAGUGGUUAUUUGGAAGAUGCGUUUUUGACCAAAAACACUGUGGUGACCUCCUUUGUGAACUGCAUUCAUGGGGAAAUAGAAUAUAAUCCUGGAGAUGGGAGAUGUGGAGCAGGUAAGUUUGUGGCAGCACCAGAGUCCUCCAACAAGUCUUCUGGCAAAGUAAAUGAGGAAGGAUCGCAGUCUGCCAUCGUGGAGUUUUGCUGAAAGGCCUGAACACGUUCCAUCCAUGCAUCCAUCUUCUUCCAUUCAUCAGGAACCAGGUUGUGAGGGCAGCAGUCUAAGCAAAGAUGCCCACACUUCCCUCUCCUCCAGCUCCUCUUGGGGGACCCCGGGGCCAGCUGAGAGACGUAGUCUCCCCAGCGUGUCCUGGGUCUCCCUUAGGGCCUCUGCCCUUAUUCCUGUUGGAGUUUUUUUCUAACCCCUUAUGUUUCAAAAGUUUGCAAACAUACAUUUUGGUUGAAAUGAUGAGGAUCCGAGGAUGAAAUCAAGAAGGGACAACAUCAGGGAAAGGGACUGAACCGACUGAACCGACUGAACAGCUUCCUCUCUUCACCAGACACAUGUUCCGAGUACAUAUGUGUCAAAAACUGACAUCCUCGCCGUUCAGGCCGGUGGCUGGAACAAGCGGAAGUCAGAAAAGCUGGAGCAGACGUGACCAGAAUGAUACCUCCAGGACCAAUCAAAAUGACCCAGAGAAAAACACUGAAGGGCUUUGUCUGAGCAUCAGGAAAACAAGAAUCAGCUGUCAUCAACAUAUGGUGGAUAAAGGUGGAAAGAUUUCAUGUAAUCCAUGGACACCAGUGAAGAUCACAAAUUAUUGAAGAAAAAAGGUUCAGAGCACUGUCUAGUGGGUCUAGAUGACCCAACUCCCAAUGGUUAUGGUGCCAUGGUAAAGAACUAAAGGCUCUAUGAUGUCAUGCUGCUGACCAGACUGUGGUUGGUGAAGUCCAGCAGCACUGCAGGUCCUUGAAGUGUGGUUGAAGAGCUCUCCUCCCAGCUUUUGGAUGGUUCUGCCCCACACAGCCAGGAGGUUUCUCUUUGUGAUCUGCAUGGAUGUCCAGGGCUUGUGGCAUUUAUGUGUUUUCUUCUUCAUUUCAUUUUUAGGCAGCACAGAGUCAUUGAUGGAGAGAGAACAUGAGGGACUAAUUGUCUGCUGAGGAGGAGACUUUCUGCAGUUCAAGCCCCAGCUCCACCCCUAAAAAAAGGCUUAUAUGAAGGAAAACCUCAUUUCAUUUUUGUACCAAUAAAUGACUUUUAAUUGAAA
Oryzias latipes (Japanese medaka) is the source of this 1649-nucleotide non-coding RNA. The record is from RefSeq and is a predicted model, not a curated record. NCBI's taxonomy places the organism in Eukaryota, Metazoa, Chordata, Actinopteri, Beloniformes, Adrianichthyidae.